RNAcentral lists this ribosomal RNA (39 nucleotides) under uncultured Russula. RNAcentral describes it as "partial 28S ribosomal RNA". The record is from RNAcentral. RNAcentral also lists the same sequence under 1 other name. Lineage: Eukaryota; Fungi; Basidiomycota; Agaricomycetes; Russulales; Russulaceae.
CCUUGACCUCAAAUCGGGUGAGACUACCCGCUGAACUUA